AACAGGAAUUAUAUAGUUAGGGU
Molecule: microRNA, 23 nt
Filed under: Heligmosomoides polygyrus
Lineage: Eukaryota; Metazoa; Nematoda; Chromadorea; Rhabditida; Heligmosomidae
Description: hpo-miR-10085-5p
Source: miRBase by way of RNAcentral